Molecule: ribosomal RNA, 499 nt
Filed under: uncultured bacterium
Lineage: Bacteria
Description: bacterial SSU rRNA
Rfam family: Bacterial small subunit ribosomal RNA
Source: RNAcentral
GAUGAACGCUGGCGGCACGCCUAACACAUGCAAGUCGAACGGAAUUUAGCAGAGGAAGCUUUCGGGUGGAAUCAGCGAAGAUUUAGUGGCGGACGGGUGAGUAACACGUGAGUAACCUGCCCUUAAGAGUGGAAUAACGUCUGGAAACGGACGCUAAUACCGCAUAAUGUAGAGAGAUGGCAUCAUCACUCUACCAAAGAUUUAUCGCUUAAGGAUGGACUCGCGCCCGAUUAGCUAGUUGGUGAGGUAAUGGCUCACCAAGGCGACGAUCGGUAGCCGGACUGAGAGGUUGAACGGCCACAUUGGGACUGAGACACGGCCCAGACUCCUACGGGAGGCAGCAGUGGGGGAUAUUGCACAAUGGAGGAAACUCUGAUGCAGCGAUGCCGCGUGUAGGAAGACGGUCUUAUGGAUUGUAAACUACUGUUUUCGGGGACGAUAAUGACGGUACCCGACAAGAAAGCUCCGGCUAACUACGUGCCAGCAGCCGCGGUAAUAC